Transfer RNA from Thermoplasmatales archaeon A-plasma, 75 nucleotides. It matches the Rfam family "tRNA". From Rfam's summary of the family: Transfer RNA (tRNA) molecules are approximately 80 nucleotides in length. Their secondary structure includes four short double-helical elements and three loops (D, anti-codon, and T loops). Further hydrogen bonds mediate the characteristic L-shaped molecular structure. tRNAs have two regions of fundamental functional importance: the anti-codon, which is responsible for specific mRNA codon recognition, and the 3' end, to which the tRNAs corresponding amino acid is attached (by aminoacyl-tRNA synthetases). tRNAs cope with the degeneracy of the genetic code in two manners: having more than one tRNA (with a specific anti-codon) for a particular amino acid; and 'wobble' base-pairing, i.e. permitting non-standard base-pairing at the 3rd anti-codon position. The record is from Rfam. NCBI's taxonomy places the organism in Archaea, Methanobacteriati, Thermoplasmatota, Thermoplasmata, Thermoplasmatales.
GGGCGCGUGGCCCAGUCUGGAUAUGGCAGCAGCCUCCUAAGCUGCAGAUCAGGGGUCCGAAUCCCCUCGCGCCCG